RNAcentral lists this non-coding RNA (184 nucleotides) under Cohnella sp. AR92. RNAcentral describes it as "6S / SsrS RNA". It matches the Rfam family "6S / SsrS RNA". Rfam says of the family: E. coli 6S RNA was the first non coding RNA to be sequenced, but its function was unknown until recently. It consists of 184 nucleotides that fold into an extended hairpin structure with a large single-stranded internal bulge. The 6S RNA specifically associates with RNA polymerase holoenzyme containing the sigma70 specificity factor. Lineage: Bacteria; Bacillati; Bacillota; Bacilli; Caryophanales; Paenibacillaceae. The record is from Rfam by way of RNAcentral.
UUACUCCUGCGAUGUGCGUCACGACGAUAUAUUGUUUUGAACCAAUGGCUGUUUCAACGGGAGUUCGACAUUGUACGGCGGCUGACAUGCCCCCGAAAGGGGAAGUCAAAAGCGCGGACUGAGGACACCCACCUGCGAGAGCGGGUUCAGAAACUUGCGCGUCGAACGGCAGAGCGGGUUUUUU